This is a long non-coding RNA of Panicum virgatum (switchgrass), 425 nucleotides long. RefSeq lists it as uncharacterized. The transcript has 2 exons. NCBI's taxonomy places the organism in Eukaryota, Viridiplantae, Streptophyta, Magnoliopsida, Poales, Poaceae. The record is from RefSeq and is a predicted model, not a curated record.
GAUCGAAUGAGAUGGCAGCUAAAGCCCUCUGUCUGCUGUAGUCUAUUAUUCUUAACCAGGCCCUCGAUCUGGCUCUUCUUCUAGCUUUGUAGCCGGUAACUGUGGAGACUUGGGAGUUUUUUUUUUGAAGUUGUGGCCAUUGCUGAUACGUGUUAAAUUCCAUUGGCAAUUCUUCUCCAUUGGCAACUGCAGAUUAAGUCAGUUGUGGCCUUUGAUCUGCCCCCACUUCGUGGAAGAAAGCUUUGCAUUGCAAUAGUAGGUCGGUGACUGUAACCUUGAUUCCAGUGAAUUUCCUCCGACGCCAUUCCAGUCCCGAGGAUAAGAAGAGAAGGUCAAAUUCUUGCAUCCACAGCAUGCAUGUGACCAAAAUCUUAGGCCACAAGAGAAUUGUCACCAUCUAUAGAGCAGGGAAAAACUUUCCGUUG